Long non-coding RNA from Octodon degus (degu), 171 nucleotides. RefSeq lists it as uncharacterized. The transcript is spliced from 3 exons. NCBI's taxonomy places the organism in Eukaryota, Metazoa, Chordata, Mammalia, Rodentia, Octodontidae. The record is from RefSeq and is a predicted model, not a curated record.
AUUUUCACUUUGCUUGAAAAGAUUGCUGAGAUUACUAAUCAAGAUCUCAUUAAGUCCCUCCAGGCCCUCCAGCCAGAACUUGCCUCCAUCCACCGGACUUUUAUACAACAACACCCUGCUCCUGACCCUCCGGCUUCCGGACUCUGCCAACAAGCUGUGGAACCAGGAAGC